Arachis ipaensis is the source of this 149-nucleotide non-coding RNA. Lineage: Eukaryota; Viridiplantae; Streptophyta; Magnoliopsida; Fabales; Fabaceae. The record is from RefSeq and is a predicted model, not a curated record.
UUCCAAUAUUAUGGGACAAGUUCUGUGGCCAAGUGAGAACCAUUUGACGAUGUUGGAUCUUUCAUAGGUUUGGCCAGUUGAAAGUGUUACUGGCUCUUGCAUUGGCUCAAGUGAAAUUGGACAAAUGAACACCGCAUGAAUAUAAUGCA